UACAGAGGUCCCAAGCGUUGUUCGGAUUCACUGGGCGUAAAGGGUGCGCAGGCGGUUGGGUGUGUCAGAUGUGAAAUCCCGAGGCUCAACCUCGGAACUGCGUCUGAAACUACUCGACUAGAGUACUGGAGAGGGUAACGGAAUUCACGGUGUAGCAGUGAAAUGCGUAGAUAUCGUGAGGAACACCAGAGGCGAAGGCGGUUACCUGGACAGUUACUGACGCUCAGGCACGAAAGCAUGGGGAGCAAAAGGG
Molecule: ribosomal RNA, 253 nt
Filed under: uncultured bacterium
Lineage: Bacteria
Description: partial 16S ribosomal RNA
Rfam family: Bacterial small subunit ribosomal RNA
Source: RNAcentral